Molecule: ribosomal RNA, 495 nt
Filed under: uncultured eubacterium WR864
Lineage: Bacteria
Description: bacterial SSU rRNA
Rfam family: Bacterial small subunit ribosomal RNA
Source: RNAcentral
GAGUUUGAUCCUGGCUCAGGACGAACGCUUGCGGCGUGCCUAAGAAAUGCAAGUCGAACGGAGGUAGCAAUACCUCAGUGGCGAACGGUCGCGUAACACGUAGGUAACCUGCCCUGAAGUGGGGGAUAACAGUCCGAAAGGACUGCUAAUACCGCAUGUGGCCCGUUGGUGGCAUCACCUUCGGUCUAAAGCUUUAUGUGCUUCAGGAUGGGCUUGCGGCCUAUCAGGUAGUUGGUGGGGUAAUGGCCUACCAAGCCGACGACGGGUAGCUGGUCUGAGAGGACGAUCAGCCGGAUUGGGACUGAGAUACGGCCCAGACUCCUACGGGGGGCAGCAAUUAGGAAUCUUGCGCAAUGGGGGCAACCCUGACGCAGCGACGCCGCGUGCGGGAUGAAGGCAUUCGUGUCAUAAACCGCUUUUUUCGGGGAAGAGGGAUGUGACGGUACCCGAAGAAUAAGCCCCGGCUAACUACGUGCCAGCAGCCGCGGUAAUACG